RNAcentral lists this small RNA (4172 nucleotides) under Pyricularia oryzae. RNAcentral describes it as "Magnaporthe oryzae sRNA M_BR32_EuGene_00086461". The record is from RNAcentral. Lineage: Eukaryota; Fungi; Ascomycota; Sordariomycetes; Magnaporthales; Pyriculariaceae.
AUUAUUUUUCGUAUAUAAUAAUUUCAAUUUUCUAAAAAAGGUGCAAAACUUCGGAUACGGGCGGUAUAAUCGAAUACAAAACCUAAUUUUUUACCUCCUUAUAUCGACCCCAGGCCUCGAAAGGUAUACGCAAACCUAAUAAUAUACCACCGUGCCUUUCCAUUACAAAUGGUUCCAAACGCCCGCAUUUUUACAAUAUCCGGACAGCUAUUACAAAUGCGCCAAAUAUUAUAUCCUCGACCAAAUUUGUAAUCAUUUUUUUCCCAACCAUCCCUAUUCGCCCAAUAUAAUCCCGCAAUAUUCUAUAUUCGCACGCGCUAUACCAAAAUCCUACCUUAUCCAAACCCCUGCUAUUUUAAAAAACGAGGGGGAAUAUAUAAACGUUAUCCAAAUUUAUAAAAUCCUUUUCAAACAUUUCCUAAACCUGUAACCCACCAAUUUCGAUUAUUCGUUUAUUUUGCUCCUUAUUUACGGGGAUUAAAAAACCACGUUAUAUAUUCGUACCAUUUAGGUAACCCAUAUCGAAUUAUCCCAACCAUUCGACAGAAAAUAAUGGAUAUUACCUAUAUUAGGAUUUUUUUAUAUCGAAUUUAAUUUUAUUAACCAUUUUUGGCAAACGUAUAUAUUUAUUAUAUUAAUGGACAUAACAGGGUUGGGAAGAAAUCGCAACCUAUAAAAAAAUAAAAAAAAGUUUUACCACGUUUUACGGCUUUUAUAAAAUAUAUUUCGUUCCCGUAUAUUAUAUAUUAUAAUCGCCAUUUUAGUCCAAAAUGGCUUAUUGGAAAGGGAAUAUAUUUCCAAAGAAAUAUUGGAGUAGGUUUUUUCGGGAAUAUUACCAAAUAUAUAUACGUUUAUAAUAUACCGAAUUUAUAAUAAUAUAUUCGCCGGUCAAAUUAACCUAUCGACGGAUAUUGGAUUAUGGGAUAACGACCCCAAAAUUAAUAUCGCCUUCCGCACGCAACGCCGCUAUUUGCAAAUAAUUAACCUCCUAUAAAUUAUUAUUAGCGCGUUUUACGAAAAAGAUUACGGUAUAUUGGAAAUUAUAAUACCGCAAUUGGUCCUAUUUUUUUACGGCUGCAAAAUAAAAAAUUACGGCCCAGAAAUAUUAUAUUUAACCUGGUUAUUACGUUCAAAGGUUACAAACCCGCCGUUGCGUACAGGAAUUUUGAAAUUAGCGUUCGUAAAAUAUAUUACGGCCGGGAACGGAUUUAAAUUAGCAAAUCUGGCAAUCGAAUAUAUUAAUAGGGGUUUUGCCAUGGACAUUAAAAACAACCGCAAUUUUACCCACGAUUUGCGAGAAAUUUUUAUAUAUUACGCCGCAUUGGGGCCCAUCGCGAACACGUUGCGCAAAACUUUGGAAAAUUUCGCACGAAUUCGCAUUAAUAGCAAAUAUUAUAUAAUAUUAACAAAUAAUAAUAUUAUAUAUUACGCGUAUUUGUUAUUUUAAAAUGGUUGGGGAAGCGAGGAAAAUAAAAUGUCGCCUCCAUUUAAUUUCGACGGCCCUAACCUCCUUUAAUUGGGUAUAUAAGAAUUAAUCGGCGACAAAUUGGAGGCCUUUAACCAAAAAAUCGUACGACCCGAAAAUAUAUUGCACCAGGCGGAUAUGGAAAACGUGGCGGGAUAUACGGAAAAGGGAAACAACCGGCCAAAUGGAUUAAAUAUUAGCGGAAUAAUAAAUAUAAAGGGAAAAUUGGCCUACGGAAUAUACGAAAAUUCGGAAAAGGAAAAGCCAUAAAUUUCGAUAAAAUAAAUAUAACCGGACCCCGGAAAAAUAAUAAAAAACGGACAAAUUCUUAUUUAAAAUAGGGCGUAAUUAAAAAAUAUUGCGUUACUCUUUUCGCCGCCAAUAAAUAAUAAUAAUAACGCAAAAAUAGCGCGCAAAAUGGGGAAAUUGCCACGUCGCAAUUUAAAUUUAUAAAUAUAACCGACCCGCCACCACCACCAAUUUUCCCGUCACCAAUUUUAUAUUAUUUUAAUUAACCAUUUUAUUAUAACCCCCAACGAUAAAUUUAAAAAAAAAGAAAAUCCUAAUAAUAACCGUCGUUAUAAUAAUAUACCCACACAAACCCGUAAAACAAAACCGCAAAAAAAAAAUAAACGUUAAUUAGGAAAAAAAGAUACGUUUGGUAAUGGAUAACUUCUUCCUCGGAAUGGGAUUUUCAAUAGCACGCUUCCUUUUGCAAAUUGGGGUCUGGGCAGACGAUCCAAAAACUCCAUCGGCGCCAUUUUUAACUUCGAACAAAUUGGGUAUAUAGGGUUUUUUAAAUGGGUCGAACGCCUAUUUUUUAUAAAUAUCCCCAAAUUCGAUAAAAAAAAAGGGCUGGAUAUUUACAGCCAAAGAAUUAUUAUUAUAUUCCUCCGCGAUAUUAUUUUUUAAAAAGGCGUUCGUUUCCCGGCGUUUAAUUACCCAAAAACCAGAAUCCCUUAUAAAAGCCCCAAUUAUUCGCAUAUUUUCGGCGGUCUCGUAAAACCCGUCGUUUUCCUUAAUCCAUUUUAUUAAUUUAACUAUAAAACCCUAAUCUAUAAUAUUAAAAUCGAAAGGCGGUAAAUAUAUAUAAUUAAUAUAAUCGGCAAUUGUAUCCCGGCCACCAUUUUGCUCCUAAUAUUAAUAAUUAACGUACGCAAAACCUAAUAAUAAAACGAAAGCCGACGUUUUGUUAACCACGUUAUUUUCGUCGAAAGGCGCUGGAAUAUCCGAUACGAAUAUCGAAACGAAACGGGAAUAAAAUUCUCCCAUUCGACGAAUUUUGUCCGAACAAAAAUUAUUUAUUUUUUGCGGCGGUUCGGUUAUUUACGCGAAAUAAUUAAAGGGCCAAAAAAAUAUAACCGCCAUCGCCUCAUAUACCAAAAGUUGUUUUAUAACGGGAAAAACGAUAAUUUCGGGCAAACGCAUCCGCGUAAUAUAUUCCAACGACAUUUAAAAUACGUUAGCAAAAAUUAUAAAAACUCGGAUUCGUAAUAUUUAUUUUUCGGAAUAUCCGGUCCUUUACCCAAUUAAACAAAAUACCUCGCAUUUCGAAAAUCCUCCAAAUAACGGGUUUUAAUUGUCCCAAACAAAUUAAACGACCACAGAUUUGCAAUUAUAUAUUGGCGUUCCAUAUUAACGGAAUAAUAAUACCAAUAUAAUAAUUAUAAUGCAAAUUAAAACCGGUAUUAAAAAUAUUAAUAUUUAAAACGCAAACGUCGAAAGAGGAACUCGAGUCGGUAAAGUCGGUUAUUGCCUUAUUACGCUCGGCCUAAAAUAAACCAGCCCGGAUAAUAAUAACGCCGAAACUGGUUUUUUCCAAAAUGGCCGCGAUCAAAUUACAAAAAUUAGCCAAUAUAUUAACAAUUGUAACAAUUGUUAUAAAAAAUAUAAACAAAUAAUUAUAACAGUUGUUAUAAUUAUAAAAGGGGAAUUGUAAUAAUAAUUAUAAUGGGAAAAUUUACGUUUGGAUCCAUAGGUUCGGAAUUAUAACCAAAACCCGUUAACCUCGCUUUUUUUUUUCCAUACAAAUCUCUAUAACCCUGGCGAUAAACGGUAAUUCAUUUAAUAUAAAAUAAAUUAUUUCGGUUUUACCAAAUGGAAAUAGCGUCUUUGGGUCUAUAUAUAUUUUAAAAUAUACCCAGUUAAAAAGUCCGUCGCCGCUAUAUUAAAUAAACGCGUCCACAAUUACCGAUCCAAGGCGGGUUUUACCUCCCGAAAGGUUUUUUUUAAUGCUCUGGCGGAUUUGGCGAUAUUUGGCUUUAAAAUUAACACCUUUUAAAACCAAUAAUUUCCCCAAUUCGGCUAAAUCGGUAUCCCGAAUGUCGUUUUCGGCGUAUAUUAUGGACCAAAAGAGAUAAUUUAUUACCAAAAACUGCAAAAAUUAUAUAAACCCCAUAUUUAGCGAUACCGAUAUUUUACGCCCUAAAUCCGCUCCAUUUCCGUCCAAAUCGUCCCCAAACGGGGCGGGACCGAUAUUAUUUAUAUUUUCCCCCACGAAAGGAAUUAAAAUAUUUUUUAAAAUCGCCUUUAUAUUUUCCAUUAUAUCCCCAAAAUAAUAACCGAAUUGAAGCUUUUUAAUAAUAAUAUUGUAAGGAGGGAUCUUUUCGCGGGGAUAGGUAACCGUGCGAUUCGGUAACGUCAAACCCGAAUCCAUUCCGCGGCGCAUAAUAAAUAUGCCUAUAUUUUGGAAAAUAAGGGAUAAUUU